This 426-nucleotide ribosomal RNA is filed under the name uncultured bacterium. Its description in RNAcentral is "bacterial SSU rRNA". It matches the Rfam family "Bacterial small subunit ribosomal RNA", at positions 506 to 930 of the family's 1533-position model. The record is from RNAcentral.
GGCCAGCAGCCGCGGUAAUACGAAGGUGGCAAGCGUUACUCGGAAUUACUAGGCGUAAAGGGCAGGUAGGUGGUUUGGUAAGUCUGUCGUUAAAACUUUCGGCUCAACCGAGAGAGGUCGAUGGAUACUGCCAGGCUUGAGUAUGGGAGAGGGUACUGGAAUUCCCGGUGUAGCGGUGAAAUGCGCAGAGAUCGGGAGGAACACCAAUGGCGAAAGCAGGUACCUGGACCAUUGCUGACACUCAGCUGCGAAAGCUAGGGGAGCAAACAGGAUUAGAUACCCUGGUAGUCCUAGCUGUAAACGAUGCACAUUAGGCGUGGGGGGUAUCGACCCCCUCCGUGCCGACGCAAACGCAUUAAAUGUGCCGCCUGGGGAGUACGGCCGCAAGGUUGAAACUCAAAGGAAUUGACGGGGGCCCGCACAAGU